This is a long non-coding RNA of Branchiostoma belcheri (Belcher's lancelet), 542 nucleotides long. RefSeq lists it as uncharacterized. The record is from RefSeq and is a predicted model, not a curated record. NCBI's taxonomy places the organism in Eukaryota, Metazoa, Chordata, Leptocardii, Amphioxiformes, Branchiostomatidae. The transcript has 2 exons.
UCAAUGCAUCUUUUUCUUUCAGACAUGGCCGUAAAAAGGAUGAUCCGUGGACUCCCACUAAGUUUGCUGUGUGUAGCCGACGUGCGUGGGAUGGACGGAUUAAGGAAUGGCGCAAAAAACUUCAUAACUGGGAUCCUGAUCAUGAUAUGGGUCAAGUCAGUGUGUCAGCUGGAGGUGUUGUUGAGGAGGAGGCCUGUUUGGACGAUGUUCCUGACCUGGAGCUGUUGGACCCCAUGGACAUCGACAAGGAGACCUUCACCAUCUAGCAAGUUAACUAAAGAAUUCAAAGUCCAAAAACUCACUUUCAUAUAGUUUGUAACCGUACAUCUCAGUAUUUUCAAGUUACUGCAUAAGAUUGCAGAUUGAUUUUUCAGUUUCUCAUCUCUUGUGUAUAUAUGAAUAUUACCUAACAUCCUAGUACCGUGUGCACAUUCUCACCCUUAGAAUACAGUUCUCUAGGGUUGAUGGACAUACAUAAUACGGAUGUUUUAAAACCAGUGUACUCAAAACAUCUUUGGAAUAAAGUUUUCAGUUUCCUUAAU